UUUUNAAAGGUUUAAUUUGGAAUUUAUUGGGGGGUAAAGGGCCAUGCAGGCGGGCCUGUUAAGUUCAGAUGUGAAAGCCCCGGGGGUUUAACCUCGGAAAUUGCAUUUGAAACUGGCAGGGUUAGAGUCUUGUAGAGGGGGGGUAGAAUUUUCAGGUGUAGCGGUGAAAUGCGUAGAGAUCUGAAGGAAUACCAGUGGCGAAGGCGGCCCCCUGGACAAAGACUGACGCUCAGAUGCGAAAGCGUGGGGAGCAAACAGGAUUAGAUACCCUGGUAGUCCACGCCGUAAACGAUGUCUACUUGGAGGUUGUGGCCUUGAGCCGUGGCUUUCGGAGCUAACGCGUUAAGUAGACCGCCUGGGGAGUACGGUCGCAAGAUUAAAACUCAAAUGAAUUGACGGGGGCCCGCACAAGCGGUGGAGCAUGUGGUUUAAUUCGAUGCAACGCGAAGAACCUUACCUACUCUUGACAUCCAGAGAAGCUUGAAGAGAUUCGAGUGUGCCUUCGGGAACUCUGAGACAGGUGCUGCAUGGCUGUCGUCAGCUCGUGUUGUGAAAUGUUGGGUUAAGUCCCGCAACGAGCGCAACCCUUAUCCUUGUUUGCCAGCACUUCGGGUGGGAACUCCAGGGAGACUGCCGGUGAUAAACCGGAGGAAGGUGGGGACGACGUCAAGUCAUCAUGGCCCUUACGAGUAGGGCUACACACGUGCUACAAUGGCAUAUACAGAGGGCAGCAAGACUGCGAGGUGGAGCGAAUCCCAGAAAGUAUGUCGUAGUCCGGAUCGGAGUCUGCAACUCGACUCCGUGAAGUCGGAAUCGCUAGUAAUCGUGGAUCAGAAUGCCACGGUGAAUACGUUCCCGGGCCUUGUACACACCGCCCGUCACACCAUGGGAGUGGGCUGCACCAGAAGUAGAUAGCUUAACCUUCGGGAGGGCGUUUAUUCACGGUGUGGUUCAUGACUGGGGUGAAGUCGUAACAAGGUAACCG
Molecule: ribosomal RNA, 985 nt
Filed under: uncultured bacterium
Lineage: Bacteria
Description: bacterial SSU rRNA
Rfam family: Bacterial small subunit ribosomal RNA
Source: RNAcentral